AAUUUCAUUUAAAAGAAUCUUUUGGCAUGUGCUGUCCCUUUUUUUUGUCCCUCCCUGCAGAUGAAUGCCCUGCUUUCAUGUUUCAUUUUUAAUGUUUUGCUGAGGAGCAAAAAGGGAAUAGAUACACCAAUAAUGAGGUGGGAUGCGACUCGACCAAGAUUAUGAAGCACCAGGUGUUCUCCUAUCAGUCCAUAUCUAGAAUGAAUAUACUGGGACGCAACACCUUUAAGCGCCUUUGAUGGAUAGCUCCUCAAUGCUGUGCUGCCUGGCUGACCUCCAACAAGGUUCUGCUCCACUCAUCAGAAGUCGUGAUGAAACUUGGUCAUUUUAACCGCUGCUGUCCUACAUCACCUCUGUCUUGUGUAUGCUUAAACGUAGAAAAGUCCUAAAGCAUUGGACCCAGCAGUGUUGGGAUUCUGUAUCCACCAUUGUCUCUGAAAUGCAGUGUGCAAACCAUUUUGUGGCAUCAAGAGUGUGUGGGCAAGAAAGCAGAGACUUAGCUUCUCCAGUUGAAACUCAAGGCAGGAUUUAUGCUUUCAUCCAGGAACCUAAAAACAGUCCUAUUCAUGUAUUCAGUGUUUGCACAGAGCACGGCUUUGACACGAAGACUGAGAUGCUGCUUCUCUCUGUGAAGACCGUGUCAGCUGCGUGAGCUCCAACCAUUGUCUUAGCCUCCACCAGCACUGCCUUAACAGGUUUUCAGGAUUGCCCUUGAAGCACCUUUAGAGAUUGAUGUCACAUUUGUCACUUUCCGUUCCUCUAAAAGGAAAUCGACACGUCUGCUGAAAAAUGCUGAACCACAUUCACAUACAGAGGAAACAAGUAUUAAAGGUAGGCUAAAAGCAAUCAGUGCCAUUCAGAGAUAAGUGCAUAGUAUUAAUUUUAGCUUUUGAAUUAUCUUCAUCCAGAAGA
RNAcentral lists this long non-coding RNA (912 nucleotides) under Struthio camelus australis. Its description in RNAcentral is "lncRNA (ENSSCUG00000017090.1)". Lineage: Eukaryota; Metazoa; Chordata; Aves; Struthioniformes; Struthionidae. The record is from RNAcentral.